GAUGAACGCUGGCGGCGUGCCUAAUACAUGCAAGUCGAGCGAACAGAUGAGGAGCUUGCUCCUCUGACGUUAGCGGCGGACGGGUGAGUAACACGUGGAUAACCUACCUAUAAGACUGGGAUAACUUCGGGAAACCGGAGCUAAUACCGGAUAAUAUAUUGAACCGCAUGGUUCAAUAGUGAAAGACGGUUUUGCUGUCACUUAUAGAUGGAUCCGCGCCGCAUUAGCUAGUUGGUAAGGUAACGGCUUACCAAGGCAACGAUGCGUAGCCGACCUGAGAGGUGGAUCGGCCACACGGAAACUGAGACACGUUCCAGACCCCAACGGAAGGCAGCAUGAGGGAAUCUUCCGAAAGGGGCGAAAGCCUGACGGAGCAACGCCGCUGAAGUGAGGAAGUUCUGCGGAUCGUAAAACCCUGUUAUUAGGAAAGAACAAAUGUGUAAGUAACGAUGCACGUCUGAACGUAACCUAAGCAGAAAGCCACGGCAACCUCCUG
RNAcentral lists this ribosomal RNA (496 nucleotides) under uncultured bacterium. RNAcentral's name for it is "partial 16S ribosomal RNA". It matches the Rfam family "Bacterial small subunit ribosomal RNA", at positions 28 to 507 of the family's 1533-position model. The record is from RNAcentral.